GAGCAAGCAAGUACCUUGAGGUUGGUGUGUUCUACCUGGAUGAGGAUUGUUCUCGACUGGUUUCAUCUUACCCGGGUUUGUCUGAUAUGUUCUGGCCACCCCCUUCAUGGUUUUGGCCGAACUCAGGCUCUUUUACAUGGGUUUCUGAAGAAGAUGAGCAACAAAAGGACUACUCUAACCAAAAAGAUGAUCAAUCUCAAUAGGGAAUCCUUUUUUUCUUAAUAUAUUUUUCUUGUUUCUGGGAUGAAAUUUGUCUUCUCUGUUACUGAAGUGUCAAAUUUUGUUCUAGAGAAUUGUGAUGAUUCAAAACUAGACAGAGACUGGUCGGAGCUCCCCAAGGAAUUGCUAAAAGUGAUUGCUGAUCGCCUAGCAUCCCGUUUGGAUUACUGCAGAUUUCGUUCAGUUUGCAAGAAAUGGCAUUCUUCUUGCCUUCUCUCUGUCCCUCUCUUAUAUUCUCAAUUGCCUCAUCAAGUCCGAACUGGUUCCUUCAGGUUCGAAAACUCUGAUCGCUCUACCUUUCUUGUGGCUAGAAUAACCUAUCUUCUGCGACCCCUUAACCAAACAAUCUCCAAGUCCUCAAAACCCUGGUUGAUCUCAGUUGAAGACUUGAACACUGGCAAGCUCCAAAUCUGUCAUCCCCUCAGUAAAUUCCCUUUCAGGAAUCUGCCAGUAACUUUCCCAAAAUCCUUGAAUAUCUCUGAUUUUCAGGUGUCAAAACUCAGUCACGGGUUUAAAAUUUGUUUCUCUGAUGGUAAUGAAGAUGUUUUUAAUGAUCACGAGUUCUCAACGGCUUGGUCAGAUUAUCCUGCUCCAAACAAAGUGAUAUUGCUCUCUGAAACUGCAACCUCCAUUUAUGAUUGUGUACCAGUCGUUUUGUUCGUUAGUCAAGGAGGUUCUUUGGUUUCUUUAAUUUUAAAGACUAGCCAACAGGGUCAUAUCAACUCAAAGAAGAACUAUCAGUUUGAUGAUAUAAUAAAAUUCAAGGGAUAUAUUUGUGCGUUAGACUCUGAAGGAAUAGCCUACCUCAUUGACAUUAAUGAUGGUUAUAAUAUGAGGAUUAUCGAUACUAUCUCAGAGCGAUUUGGUUACCUAUAUGCAGAGAAACGGCGUAAGCUGCUGGUUGAAUCAUUUGGAGUACUGUACAUGGUUGUUAGAAAUCAUUUGGAAUUUCGGGUUUACCAGUUGAAUGAAAGGCGGUGGAACAAGGUGAAUCAUUUAGGAGAUAGGAUUUUAUUCAUCAGUUUUGACAGCUGCUUCUUUGCUGAAGCAAAAGAUUUUCCAGGGUGCAGAGGGAAUUGUAUUGUGUUCCCUAAGAAUUGUUUUCCUCUGUAUUCUGGAGGAUAUGAUCCUGACUAUGAACUUUUUGAAGGACAAAGACGUCACUUUACGAUUGGUGUGUUUUACUUGGACGAGAAUCGUUGUAAGAUACCCAAGCCUCUCAGAGUUGUUCUGGCCCCCUCCUUCUUGGCUCUGCCCUGAUUCAUACCCCUACCCCUGUGAAGAGGAAGAUGAGCUUAUUGAUUCCUCUAGCCAAACUGAAACCAGUUCGGAAGAUGAGGAAAUAGCAGCAGACGAGUUCAUUUGUGAGAGCGAUGAAGAUUGUAUUGACUUAUUUCCUGCCACUAGAGCUCCUCUUGAGAUUUCAGAAAACUCUUCGAUGAAGAAAUUCCAAGGAGAAGAUAUGGAAGAUGCAUGAUUUUUUUGAAGAUCAUGCAGUCCGAAGUAAUGGCCUUCUUACAUGGGCAUUAGAAUCGUUGGCAAAGAUGAUGAUUAUACUUCAAAACAACAUGGGCAAAGGAAAGGGGAAGUCUCCAU
This is an RNA transcript of Spinacia oleracea (spinach), 1815 nucleotides long. RefSeq lists it as uncharacterized. The record is from RefSeq and is a predicted model, not a curated record. Lineage: Eukaryota; Viridiplantae; Streptophyta; Magnoliopsida; Caryophyllales; Amaranthaceae. The transcript has 6 exons.